UAUCUUGAAGAUACUACUUGUCUCUAAAAGGACCUAAGGAGGAACAUGGCAGCUGAACGUUUUAUGGGAAAGUCUGGACUCUUGACUCUGGCCCUGUGUGCCUUACUAAGUCUACAGGGGGCAGGGGCGAAUACCGGUAAUUGUAACUUAUAAUGAUAAUAAUUAUCAUGGAGGUACACCUGAUUGGGCUAUCGCUGUAAUUGUUAUGUUGGCCAUCCUUCUAGCCGGACUACUUUUAAGUUGCUGCCUUGUGCCCCUGUGCAGUGGUAUGUGCCAACGAGACGAUGGCUGCCAGGGCGGAAUCUCAUUUGGAAAGUAACCUUGAGACCUUUGGAUCCACAUCACCAGGAGACAUAACACCACAUCGAUAACCCUGGCUCUGCAAUAUCUUCUGGAUCUCGUAGCUGUGCUCUUUGAUCUAAUAAAUUAUUAUAUUUAAAUUAUGGGAAGCCUUUAC
This is a long non-coding RNA of Bufo bufo (common toad), 457 nucleotides long. RefSeq lists it as uncharacterized. The transcript is spliced from 4 exons. NCBI's taxonomy places the organism in Eukaryota, Metazoa, Chordata, Amphibia, Anura, Bufonidae. The record is from RefSeq and is a predicted model, not a curated record.